Molecule: long non-coding RNA, 936 nt
Organism: Homo sapiens (human)
Lineage: Eukaryota; Metazoa; Chordata; Mammalia; Primates; Hominidae
Gene: PCMTD1-DT
Product: PCMTD1 divergent transcript
Source: Ensembl
AGCCUCAGCUCCCGGACGCCCGGCGUGGCCGCUUUCUCGCGUCUUGCUGACCCGGGCCGGGGGCGUGUGCUCCUCCUGCAGCGGACGGAAGAUGCUGGGCCACGCAAGUUUCCCUGGGCUUGGUUAACCACCCCAAAGCCCAUUUCCAGAAGGAAAGGGUGUUGAGGAGGAGGGAUAGAAAGUCGAGAAGAGGGCCGGGUCAACACAGAUUCUCGGAAUUAAACACUUCCAUGUCCCAGAGGAUCAAAGUCACUUGCAAAAAUACCUCAAAAUGUGUUUGUCAAGAAAUUACACUUUCUCUUGAUUUUGUGGACCACUUUCUAAUUUCCAACCCAGACAAAAGCCUCCUAGUGAAGCUGGUCUUUCCUAGCACAUCCCCCUACCCCCCCAGCCACUGUCCCAUCCCUGGAUGGCCUGUCCACAGAGAGCACUGUCUGUGUGGCCACUGGGGGAGGCAGCUGCAUCCCAGAGAUGAUGGUGUCCAGGGCAUGACGAGGAAGCUCUUUGUGUGGCCUGGAGACGUCCCGGGAGCUGGCUGGCGCCCACCUUCUCUCACUUCCUUACCACCUUCUUUCUUGUGUUGCUGCUUUCUCCUUCCCAGCUCUAAACUCCCAUGGUGCUGGAGCAGCCAGAGAAGAAGUGUUACUAGACCUGCCACUGCUACCUACAGUGAGCCCCAUUCUGCACACAGAGGCUGCGGACUCCUUUUUCCCAAUCAUAGACCAGAAUGCUUGUGAAAGAAGAUGUGGCUGUUCUGCAGGUUGGAGCUCUAGGAUCGGAAGAACUCAUCUGUAUCACAUAUGAUCCAGCUGAAAGUCCCUACAAACUGGGCCCUCUGUGUCUUUAGAAGCAGCUUCCAAGGGCAGGAAGACUUCCAGAGUGCAGGACUGAGCGUGCUGCUAAUCUUGUUCUGGUCGAGAGACUGAUGAGAGAGAC